GACGAACGCUGGCGGCGUGCUUAACACAUGCAAGUCGAACGGAAAGGCCCUGCUUUUGUGGGGUGCUCGAGUGGCGAACGGGUGAGUAACACGUGAGUAACCUGCCCUUGACUUUGGGAUAACUUCAGGAAACUGGGGCUAAUACCGGAUAGGAGCUCCUGCUGCAUGGUGGGGGUUGGAAAGUUUCGGCGGUUGGGGAUGGACUCGCGGCUUAUCAGCUUGUUGGUGGGGUAGUGGCUUACCAAGGCUUUGACGGGUAGCCGGCCUGAGAGGGUGACCGGCCACAUUGGGACUGAGAUACGGCCCAGACUCCUACGGGAGGCAGCAGUGGGGAAUAUUGCACAACGGGCGGAAGCCGGAUGCAGCAACGCCGCGUGCGGGAUGACGGCCUUCGGGUUGUAAACCGCUUUCGCCUGUAACGAAGCGUGCGUGACGGUAAUGGGUAAAGAAGCACCGGCUAACUACGU
Molecule: ribosomal RNA, 467 nt
Filed under: uncultured bacterium
Lineage: Bacteria
Description: partial 16S ribosomal RNA
Rfam family: Bacterial small subunit ribosomal RNA
Source: RNAcentral